RNAcentral lists this transfer RNA (77 nucleotides) under Firmicutes bacterium CAG:582. RNAcentral describes it as "transfer RNA-Pro(TGG)". It matches the Rfam family "tRNA". Rfam says of the family: Transfer RNA (tRNA) molecules are approximately 80 nucleotides in length. Their secondary structure includes four short double-helical elements and three loops (D, anti-codon, and T loops). Lineage: Bacteria; Bacillati; Bacillota. The record is from RNAcentral. RNAcentral also lists the same sequence under 5 other names.
CGAGAAGUAGCACAGCUUGGUAGUGCACUAGUUUUGGGAACUAGGGGUCGCAGGUUCGAAUCCUGUCUUCUCGACCA